Molecule: ribosomal RNA, 465 nt
Filed under: uncultured bacterium
Lineage: Bacteria
Description: partial 16S ribosomal RNA
Rfam family: Bacterial small subunit ribosomal RNA
Source: RNAcentral
GACGAACGCUGGCGGCGUGCUUAACACAUGCAAGUCGAACGGAAAGGCCCCUUUGGGGGUACUCGAGUGGCGAACGGGUGAGUAACACGUGAGUAACCUGCCCUUGACUUCGGGAUAACUUCAGGAAACUGGGGCUAAUACCGGAUAGGAAUCCUUGCUGCAUGGUGGGGGUUGGAAAGCUUCGGCGGUUUUGGAUGGACUGGCGGCUUAUCAGCUUGUUGGUGGGGUAGUGGCUUACCAAGGCUUUUACGGGUAGCCGGCCUGAGAGGGCGACCGGCCACAUUGGGACUGAGGUACGGCCCAGACUCCUACGGGAGGCAGCAGUGGGGAAGAUUGAACAAGGGGCGGAAGCCGGAUGCAGCAACGCCGCGUGCGGGAUGACGGCCUUCGGGUUGUAAACCGCUUUCAGCAGGGGCGAAGCUUGUGGUGACGGUACCUGCAGAAGAAGCACCGGCUAACUACGUG